UACGUAGGGUGCGAGCGUUGUCCGGAAUUAUUGGGCGUAAAGGGCUCGUAGGCGGUUUGUCGCGUCGGGAGUGAAAACCAGGUGCUUAACACCUGGCUUGCUUUCGAUACGGGCAGACUAGAGGUAUUCAGGGGAGAACGGAAUUCCUGGUGUAGCGGUGAAAUGCGCAGAUAUCAGGAGGAACACCGAUGGCGAAGGCAGGUCUCUGGGCAUUAACUGACGCUGAGGAGCGAAAGCAUGGGGAGCGAACAGG
This 253-nucleotide ribosomal RNA is filed under the name uncultured bacterium. RNAcentral's name for it is "partial 16S ribosomal RNA". It matches the Rfam family "Bacterial small subunit ribosomal RNA", at positions 524 to 776 of the family's 1533-position model. The record is from RNAcentral.